Molecule: ribosomal RNA, 254 nt
Filed under: uncultured bacterium
Lineage: Bacteria
Description: partial 16S ribosomal RNA
Rfam family: Bacterial small subunit ribosomal RNA
Source: RNAcentral
CUAAGUUUGAUGGCGACCGGCGCACGGGUGAGUAACACGUAUCCAACCUGCCGAUGACUCGGGGAUAGCCUUUCGAAAGAAAGAUUAAUACCCGAUGGUAUAGUUCUUCCGCAUGGUAGAACUAUUAAAGAAUUUCGGUCAUCGAUGGGGAUGCGUUCCAUUAGGUUGUUGGCGGGGUAACGGCCCACCAAGCCUUCGAUGGAUAGGGGUUCUGAGAGGAAGGUCCCCCACAUUGGAACUGAGACACGGUCCAA